This 496-nucleotide ribosomal RNA is filed under the name uncultured bacterium. Its description in RNAcentral is "partial 16S ribosomal RNA". It matches the Rfam family "Bacterial small subunit ribosomal RNA", at positions 29 to 507 of the family's 1533-position model. The record is from RNAcentral.
AUGAACGCUGGCGGCGUGCCUAAUACAUGCAAGUCGAGCGAACAGACGAGGAGCUUGCUCCUCUGACGUUAGCGGCGGACGGGUGAGUAACACGUGGAUAACCUACCUAUAAGACUGGGAUAACUUCGGGAAACCGGAGCUAAUACCGGAUAAUAUAUUGAACCGCAUGGUUCAAUAGUGAAAGACGGUUUUGCUGUCACUUGUAGAUGGAUCCGCGCCGCAUUAGCUAGUUGGUAAGGUAACGGCUUACCAAGGCAACGAUGCGUAGCCGACCUGAGAGGGUGAUCGGCCACACUGGAACUGAGACACGGUCCAGACUCCUACGGGAGGCAGCAGUAGGGAAUCUUCCGCAAUGGGCGAAAGCCUGACGGAGCAACGCCGCGUGAGUGAUGAAGGUCUUCGGAUCGUAAAACUCUGUUAUUAGGGAAGAACAAAUGUGUAAGUAACUAUGCACGUCUUGACGGUACCUAACCAGAAAGCCACGGCUAACUACGUG